RNAcentral lists this non-coding RNA (29 nucleotides) under Mus musculus (house mouse). Lineage: Eukaryota; Metazoa; Chordata; Mammalia; Rodentia; Muridae. The record is from RNAcentral.
UAAGCACACGUUUCCUGUGCUGCUUCAAC